RNAcentral lists this ribosomal RNA (250 nucleotides) under uncultured bacterium. RNAcentral describes it as "partial 16S ribosomal RNA". It matches the Rfam family "Bacterial small subunit ribosomal RNA", at positions 524 to 776 of the family's 1533-position model. The record is from RNAcentral.
UACGAAGGGGGCUAGCGUUGCUCGGAAUCACUGGGCGUAAAGGGUGCGUAGGCGGGUCUUUAAGUCAGGGGUGAAAUCCUGGAGCUCAACUCCAGAACUGCCUUUGAUACUGAAGAUCUUGAGUUCGGGAGAGGUGAGUGGAACUGCGAGUGUAGAGGUGAAAUUCGUAGAUAUUCGCAAGAACACCAGUGGCGAAGGCGGCUCACUGGCCCGAUACUGACGCUGAGGCACGAAGCGUGGGAGCAACAGG